AAUAUUGGACAAUGGGCGAAAGCCUGAUCCAGCCAUGCCGCGUGUAUGAUGAAGGCCUUCGGGUUGUAAAGUACUGUUUUUGGGGACGAACGGUAUAUGUGAAAAUAUUGCAUAUACAUGACGGUACCCAAAGAGGAAGCCCCGGCUAACUACGUGCCAGCAGCCGCGGUAAUACGUAGGGGGCAAGCGUUGUCCGGAAUUAUUGGGCGUAAAGGGCGCGUAGGCGGAUAUUUAAGUCUGGUGUGAAAGGUUAGGGCUCAACCCUAAGACUGCACCGGAAACUGGAUAUCUUGAGGACAGGAGAGGAAAGUGGAAUUCCACGUGUAGCGGUGAAAUGCGUAGAUAUGUGGAGGAACACCAGUGGCGAAGGCGACUUUCUGGACUGUAACUGACGCUGAGGCGCGAAAGCGUGGGGAGCAAACAGG
RNAcentral lists this ribosomal RNA (425 nucleotides) under uncultured bacterium. RNAcentral's name for it is "partial 16S ribosomal RNA". It matches the Rfam family "Bacterial small subunit ribosomal RNA", at positions 360 to 776 of the family's 1533-position model. The record is from RNAcentral.